Long non-coding RNA from Maniola jurtina (meadow brown), 158 nucleotides. RefSeq lists it as uncharacterized. The transcript is spliced from 3 exons. NCBI's taxonomy places the organism in Eukaryota, Metazoa, Arthropoda, Insecta, Lepidoptera, Nymphalidae. The record is from RefSeq and is a predicted model, not a curated record.
GGGAUAAAAAGUUGACUGACUGACUGACUGACUGAUCUAACAACGCACAGCUCAAAUUACUGAUCGGAUUGGGCUAUAAUUUGGUAUGCAUAUACGUAUUAUGGCGUAGACAUCCGCUAAGAAAGGACUUUUGAAAAUUCAACCCCUAAGACGGUAAA